GUACGAACGCUGGCGGCGUGCUUAACACAUGCAAGUCGAACGGAAAGGCCCUGCUUUUGUGGGGUGCUCGAGUGGCGAACGGGUGAGUAACACGUGAGUAACCUGCCCUUGACUUUGGGAUAACUUCAGGAAACUGGGGCUAAUACCGGAUAGGAGCUCCUGCUGCAUGGUGGGGGUUGGAAAGUUUCGGCGGUUGGGGAUGGACUCGCGGCUUAUCAGCUUGUUGGUGGGGUAGUGGCUUACCAAGGCUUUGACGGGUAGCCGGCCUGAGAGGGUGACCGGCCACAUUGGGACUGAGAUACGGCCCAGACUCCUACGGGAGGCAGCAGUGGGGAAUAUUGCACAAUGGGCGGAAGCCUGAUGCAGCAACGCCGCGUGCGGGAUGACGGCCUUCGGGUUGUAAACCGCUUUCGCCUGUGACGAAGCGUGAGUGACGGUAAUGGGUAAAGAAGCACCGGCUAACUACGUGCCAGCAGCCGCGGUGAUACGUAGGGUGCGAGCGUUGUCCGGAUUUAUUGGGCGUAAAGGGCUCGUAGGUGGUUGAUCGCGUCGGAAGUGUAAUCUUGGGGCUUAACCCUGAGCGUGCUUUCGAUACGGGUUGACUUGAGGAAGGUAGGGGAGAAUGGAAUUCCUGGUGGAGCGGUGGAAUGUGCAGAUAUCAGGAGGAACACCAGUGGCGAAGGCGGUUCUCUGGGCCUUUCCUGACGCUGAGGAGCGAAAGCGUGGGGAGCGAACAGGCUUAGAUACCCUGGUAGUCCACGCUGUAAACGGUGGGUACUAGGUGUGGGGUCCAUUCCACGGGUUCCGUGCCGUAGCUAACGCUUUAAGUACCCCGCCUGGGGAGUACGGCCGCAAGGCUAAAACUCAAAGGAAUUGACGGGGCCCCGCACAAGCGGCGGAGCAUGCGGAUUAAUUCGAUGCAACGCGUAGAACCUUACCUGGGUUUGACAUGGAUCGGGAGUGCUCAGAGAUGGGUGUGCCUCUUUUGGGGUCGGUUCACAGGUGGUGCAUGCCUGUCGUCAGCUCGUGUCGUGAGAUGUUGGGUUAAGUCCCGCAACGAGCGCAACCCUUGUUCACUGUUGCCAGCACGUUAUGGUGGGGACUCAGUGGAGACCGCCGGGGUCAACUCGGAGGAAGGUGGGGAUGACGUCAAGUCAUCAUGCCCCUUAUGUCCAGGGCUUCACGCAUGCUACAAUGGCUGGUACAGAGAGUGGCGAGCCUGUGAGGGUGAGCGAAUCUCGGAAAGCCGGUCUCAGUUCGGAUUGGGGUCUGCAACUCGACCUCAUGAAGUCGGAGUCGCUAGUAAUCGCAGAUCAGCAACGCUGCGGUGAAUAGCGUUCCCGGGGCU
This 1348-nucleotide ribosomal RNA is filed under the name uncultured bacterium. Its description in RNAcentral is "partial 16S ribosomal RNA". It matches the Rfam family "Bacterial small subunit ribosomal RNA", at positions 27 to 1381 of the family's 1533-position model. The record is from RNAcentral.